RNAcentral lists this ribosomal RNA (250 nucleotides) under uncultured bacterium. RNAcentral's name for it is "partial 16S ribosomal RNA". It matches the Rfam family "Bacterial small subunit ribosomal RNA", at positions 524 to 773 of the family's 1533-position model. The record is from RNAcentral.
UACGGAGGAUCCGAGCGUUAUCCGGAAUUAUUGGGUUUAAAGGGUGCGUAGGCGGCCCGUUAAGUCAGGGGUGAAAGACGGUGGCUCAACCAUCGCAGUGCCCUUGAUACUGUCGGGCUUGAAUGUACAUGAGGUAGGCGGAAUGUGGCAAGUAGCGGUGAAAUGCAUAGAUAUGCCACAGAACACCGAUUGCGAAGGCAGCUUACCAAGGUAUGAUUGACGCUGAGGCACGAAAGCGUGGGGAUCAAAC